CACGUUGAAACCGAGUUACUGAUUUUCUCCUACUAUACUGUGCUGUUCUGUGUCCAUGAGAGUCUGUCAGCAGUUUGCUGUCUUAGCUGCCACCUUCCUCUUCUUCUCGGUCUUCAUUCGACAGUCACAGUGGAAAGAUUUGAACCUCUAGCUUUUUUUGCUUCGACGCUGUACAGUGGCUGAAUCAGACUUGCUGCCACUAAGCCUUGUUGAGGAAUCUAAUGGCGUCAUUGGAAUUAAGAUAGUAUAGCAGACCCUGCACCUCCAGCUGACCAUUGAAGGCCUUCUUGUUUUUGAAAAAAAAAAAAAAGCAGAAGCACAUGGUGACUAUCUUUUUUGGUGAAGUUUCAUUCUGUGUUUUGUAAACUAUAAGCUAACUCCACGUACCUUAUGAUUAGGCAUUAAUCCCUUUUGGUUAUGAUGUAAACUGCUAAAAUAGAAAUAGUCUCCUUGUUGGUUGGGCUGACAGGUUUUGUUGUUGUUGUGAAAAUUUUGGAAGAGUUAAAUUAUAGGAGAGACUCUGCCGAAAUUUUCACAAAACAUUUAGACUUUGCUAAC
Prosopis cineraria is the source of this 558-nucleotide long non-coding RNA. RefSeq lists it as uncharacterized. The record is from RefSeq and is a predicted model, not a curated record. Lineage: Eukaryota; Viridiplantae; Streptophyta; Magnoliopsida; Fabales; Fabaceae. The transcript has 3 exons.